GCUGGAGCUUGCUCCGGUGGAUUAGUGGCGAACGGGUGAGUAACACGUGAGCAAUCUGCCCUUGACUCUGGGAUAACUGCGGGAAACUGUAGCUAAUACCGGAUACUUUCCUUGGUGGGCAUCCACUGGGGAAGAAAGAAUUUCGGUCAAGGAUGAGCUCGCGGCCUAUCAGCUAGUUGGUGAGGUAAUGGCUCACCAAGGCGACGACGGGUAGCCGGCCUGAGAGGGUGACCGGCCACACUGGAACUGAGACACGGUUCAGACUCCUACGGGAGGCAGCAGUGGGGAAUAUUGCACAAUGGGCGAAAGCCUGAUGCAGCAACGCCGCGUGAGGGACGAAGGCCUUCGGGUUGUAAACCUCUUUUAGCAGGGAAGAAGCGAAAGUGACGGUACCUGCAGAAAAAGCACCGGCUAACUACGUGCCAGCAGCCGCGGUAAUACGUAGGGUGCAAGCGUUGUCCGGAAUUAUUGGGCGUAAAGAGCUCGUAGGCGGUUUGUCACGUCUGCUGU
RNAcentral lists this ribosomal RNA (510 nucleotides) under uncultured Actinomycetes bacterium. RNAcentral's name for it is "bacterial SSU rRNA". It matches the Rfam family "Bacterial small subunit ribosomal RNA", at positions 72 to 595 of the family's 1533-position model. Lineage: Bacteria; Bacillati; Actinomycetota; Actinomycetes. The record is from RNAcentral.